ACAGUGGCCUAAUGAUUAGUGCGUUGGACUCCGGAUCGAGAGGUCCGGGUUCGAGUGUUGGCCGGGGUCAGUG
This 73-nucleotide transfer RNA is filed under the name Desmophyllum pertusum. RNAcentral's name for it is "tRNA-Arg". Lineage: Eukaryota; Metazoa; Cnidaria; Anthozoa; Scleractinia; Caryophylliidae. The record is from RNAcentral.